Mercenaria mercenaria is the source of this 607-nucleotide long non-coding RNA. RefSeq lists it as uncharacterized. The transcript is spliced from 3 exons. The record is from RefSeq and is a predicted model, not a curated record. Lineage: Eukaryota; Metazoa; Mollusca; Bivalvia; Venerida; Veneridae.
UUCUUUCCUGUAGUUUAGAUACGAUGAUAAUCACAGUCUAUAAAGUUUUACGUUAACACCGUUAUUUUUUCUGUUGGUGAGAAUCCUAAAAAACAGCCAAGAUGACUGGAAUGACAAUGCCUGAAGCGGUGUCCGUAGCGAACGGACUGAACAAAGGAUGGAAGAAAUAUUUCAAUUUUGAUACAAUCAAGGGCAGAUACGGUGUAUGCAUUGUAUGUAUUGGCAUCUACGUUGCUGUGUUUAAAUUCAGCACAUGGAAAUACAAUCGACCAAACGUUCUAGCAGCACGUCAGGCAGAACAGGACAAGAAAGACUUAUUUGAAAGACAGGUCCAAGCUUGGCUGAAAAAUGGGAGGAAAUUUACUUAAAUGAUUACAACUUUUCGUACUGAAUUUCAUCUGAAUACCAUCCAGUUUCAUUUUUAAUGAAGAAUUGUUAAAAUGCUUAUUACUGAAUUUUUAACAUCGAAAAGAAUUUAAAUGAGAGCACAAGAAUAGUGAUGUUUUGAUUCAACUCAAUCUCUAAUCGCUUAAAUCAUUUAGAGUGAUGGAAAUGAAAUAUUUUUAUUCUUGUUUUGAAUUUGUAUUGAAUAAAUAUGUAAAAAACA